RNAcentral lists this ribosomal RNA (497 nucleotides) under uncultured bacterium. RNAcentral's name for it is "partial 16S ribosomal RNA". It matches the Rfam family "Bacterial small subunit ribosomal RNA", at positions 28 to 507 of the family's 1533-position model. The record is from RNAcentral.
GAUGAACGCUGGCGGCGUGCCUAAUACAUGCAAGUCGAGCGAACAGACGAGGGGCUUGCUCCUCUGACGUUAGCGGCGGACGGGUGAGUAACACGUGGAUAACCUACCUAUAAGACUGGGAUAACUUCGGGAAACCGGAGCUAAUACCGGAUAACAUGUUGAACCGCAUGGUUCAACAGUGAAAGACGGUCUUGCUGUCACUUAUAGAUGGAUCCGCGCCGCAUUAGCUAGUUGGUAAGGUAACGGCUUACCAAGGCAACGAUGCGUAGCCGACCUGAGAGGGUGAUCGGCCACACUGGAACUGAGACACGGUCCAGACUCCUACGGGAGGCAGCAGUAGGGAAUCUUCCGCAAUGGGCGAAAUCCUGACGGAGCAACGCCGCGUGAGUGAAGAAGGUCUUCGGAUCGUAAAACUCUGUUAUUAGGGAAGAACAAAUGUGUAAGUAACUAUGCACGUCUUGACGGUACCUAAUCAGAAAGCCACGGCUAACUACGUG